UUGGAGGGCAAGUCUGGUGCCAGCAGCCGCGGUAAUUCCAGCUCCAAUAGCGUAUAUUAAAGUUGUUGCAGUUAAAAAGCUCGUAGUUGAAUUUCGGGGUUCAUACGUUGGUCGGGCUUUUUGGUCUGUACUAGCGUAAUGGAUUCCUACCUUCUGAAUAACCGGCAUGCCAUUAAUUUGGUGCGUCGGGGAAGCAGGACUGUUACCUUGAAAAAAUUAGAGUGCUUAAAGCAGGCUAUCGCCUGAAUACAUUAGCAUGGAAUAAUGAAAUAGGACGGCAUGGUUCUAUUUUGUUGGUUUCUAGGAUCACCGUAAUGAUUAAUAGGGAUAGUUGGGGGCAUUAGUAUUCAAUUGUCAGAGGUGAAAUUCUUGGAUUUAUUGAAGACUAACUUCUGCGAAAGCAUUUGCCAAGGAUGUUUUCAUUAAUCAAGAACGAAAGUUAGGGGAUCGAAGACGAUCAGAUACCGUCGUAGUCUUAACCAUAAACUAUGCCGACUAGGAAUCGGACGAUGUUAAUUUUUUAAUGACUCAUUCGGCGCCUUACGGGAAAC
This 551-nucleotide ribosomal RNA is filed under the name uncultured Acaulospora. RNAcentral's name for it is "SSU rRNA". It matches the Rfam family "Eukaryotic small subunit ribosomal RNA", at positions 548 to 1098 of the family's 1831-position model. The record is from RNAcentral. Lineage: Eukaryota; Fungi; Glomeromycota; Glomeromycetes; Diversisporales; Acaulosporaceae.